Molecule: long non-coding RNA, 1023 nt
Filed under: Monodelphis domestica (gray short-tailed opossum)
Lineage: Eukaryota; Metazoa; Chordata; Mammalia; Didelphimorphia; Didelphidae
Description: lncRNA (ENSMODG00000039585.1)
Source: RNAcentral
AUGUGCUGUUCCUCCUAUUCACAUCCAUUGGCUUCGUUGGCGUUGGCUUCUCUUCUGGCGGGUGCAUGGCGGGAGGGACAGAGUUUGGAGCCCAAAAUGGAGAGAGAAUGUGAGGUGAGGACUUUGCUCCUGUCCCCCCGGCCCUCCUCGCCUUCCCCUGGGGCUCUGGAAUGGCUGCUGGAGGGUCCUGAAGGCGCUCUAGGCUUGGCCCUUCCCACUUUCCGCCAUUUCGCCUUCUUCCUCCCAAGGCUGCGAUCACAGACGGUCAUGGUCGGGAUUUUUGCUUUCUCCCCCCCCCUCCCAGCGAGGCCCCUCCUGGGCCGUCCCCUGGUCUGGAGGGCCGCUUGGUUGCUCAGCUUGGACGCUCCCCCAAAGGAGAAGCCCGACACACAGGCCGGAGGAGAGGCCGGUUUGGGGCCCAAAGCCCACGGGAUGGAGACUGGGAGAGGGGGAGGCCGGGCCGCCUCCGCCUGCUGGCUCCUGGGGCCCUCUGGGAAGCCUUCGGCAGCCUGCGGCGUGCCAGGCUCCCCACGGGGCGACCGGAGACGGUUCUGCCCUCGGUGGCAGGCUCGAGAGGAGGCCCUGGAUCUGCAGGCAGAGGACAGGGCGGAGCCGCGGCACAGGAAGCCCGUGGAAAGGCACCGAGGACGGCCGGCUGGCACGGAGCCUCCCUGCUCUGCUCGAGACACGGGCAGGUGGUGCCCGAGCCUGGCACCCACAAGGCCUCUGCAGAAGACCCCUCCCCCCGCCUCGCCCGCUCUCGCAGCGGUGAGGUUGGUCCUGAGGGCAGGACAGACACGGCCAGGCCAGACCCAAACCCCCCCGCCUGUGGCCGGGUUUCGGGAGCCUGCAAAGCCCAGGGCUGUCUCCCGGCCUCGUGGGGCAGGACGGCGGCCCAUCCCCCUCCCCCGCCCAGGGAGCGCCAACCGGAAGGAAGUACAAUCGUACAAUCGAUGUUUUAUUUGGCAUUCCCGAAGGGCAGGCGCUGCGGGCGUGGGGCUACCCGGACGAUGCCCGGCCUAG